Molecule: long non-coding RNA, 224 nt
Organism: Siniperca chuatsi (mandarin fish)
Lineage: Eukaryota; Metazoa; Chordata; Actinopteri; Centrarchiformes; Sinipercidae
Exons: 3
Source: RefSeq, a predicted model, not a curated record
GGGCAGACAGCGUGUUGUUGUUGUUGUUGGUAUUGAAGAGUAGGGACCACACCAACAUUUAACUGGACGCAAGUGAUAUUUGCAGUGAAUGAUUGAUCAUCAGGUGGGAUCUUAUGGGAUCAUCAGGCCUUAGGAGUCCUUCUGCUUCCUGGACACCAUCAUCACCCAGGACCUCAAGUGGGAGCUGAACAUCAGCUCCCUCACCAAGAAAGCGCAGCAGAGGA